Molecule: ribosomal RNA, 468 nt
Filed under: uncultured bacterium
Lineage: Bacteria
Description: partial 16S ribosomal RNA
Rfam family: Bacterial small subunit ribosomal RNA
Source: RNAcentral
GACGAACGCUGGCGGCGUGCUUAACACAUGCAAGUCGAACGGAAAGGCCCUGCUUUUGUGGGGUGCUCGAGUGGCGAACGGGUGAGUAACACGUGAGUAACCUGCCCUUGACUUUGGGAUAACUUCAGGAAACUGGGGCUAAUACCGGAUAGGAGCUCCUGCUGCAUGGUGGGGGUUGGAAAGUUUCGGCGGUUGGGGAUGGACUCGCGGCUUAUCAGCUUGUUGGUGGGGUAGUGGCUUACCAAGGCUUUGACGGGUAGCCGGCCUGAGAGGGUGACCGGGCACAUUGGGACUGAGAUACGGCCCAGUCUCCUACGGGAGGCAGCAGUGGGGAAUAUUGCACAAUGGGCGGAAGCCUGAUGCAGCAACGCCGCGUGCGGGAUGACGGCCUUCGGGUUGUAAACCGCUUUCGCCUGUGACGAAGCGUGAGUGACGGUAAUGGGUAAAGAAGCACCGGCUAACUACGUG